Molecule: ribosomal RNA, 498 nt
Filed under: uncultured bacterium
Lineage: Bacteria
Description: partial 16S ribosomal RNA
Rfam family: Bacterial small subunit ribosomal RNA
Source: RNAcentral
GACGAACGCUGGCGGCGUGCCUAAUACAUGCCAGUCGAACGAGAGCGACCGGUGCUUGCACUGGUCAAUCUAGUGGCGAACGGGUGAGUAACACGUGGGUAACCUGCCCAUCAGAGGGGGAUAACAUCCGGAAACGGAUGCUAAAACCGCAUAGGUCUUCGAGCCGCAUGGCUUGAAGAGGAAAAGAGGCGCAAGCUUCUGCUGAUGGAUGGACCCGCGGUGCAUUAGCUAGUUGGUGAGGUAACGGCUCACCAAGGCCGUGAUGCAUAGCCGACCUGAGAGGGUGAUCGGCCACAUUGGGACUGAGACACGGCCCAAACUCCUACGGGAGGCAGCAGUAGGGAAUCUUCCGCAAUGGACGCAAGUCUGACGGAGCAACGCCGCGUGAGUGAAGAAGGUUUUCGGAUCGUAAAACUCUGUUGUUAGAGAAGAACAAGUGCUAGAGUAACUGUUAGCGCCUUGACGUUAUCUAACCAGAAAGCCACGGCUAACUACGUG